GUGGGGAAUCUUCCGCAAUGGACGAAAGUCUGACGGAGCAACGCCGCGUGAGUGAUGAAGGUCUUCGGAUUGUAAAGCUCUGUUAAUCGGGACGAAAGAGCCUAGUGUGAAUAAUGCUAGGAAGUGACGGUACCGGAAUAGAAAGCCACGGCUAACUACGUGCCAGCAGCCGCGGUAAUACGUAGGUGGCAAGCGUUGUCCGGAAUUAUUGGGCGUAAAGCGCGCGUAGGCGGAUCUGCCAGUCUGUCUUAAAAGUUCGGGGCUUAACCCCGUGAUGGGAUGGAAACUACAGAUCUAGAGUAUCGGAGAGGAAAGUGGAAUUCCUAGUGUAGCGGUGAAAUGCGUAGAUAUUAGGAAGAACACCAGUGGCGAAGGCGACUUUCUGGACGAAAACUGACGCUGAGGCGCGAAAGCCAGGGGAGCGAACGGGAUUAGAUACCCCAGUAGUCC
RNAcentral lists this ribosomal RNA (450 nucleotides) under uncultured bacterium. RNAcentral describes it as "partial 16S ribosomal RNA". It matches the Rfam family "Bacterial small subunit ribosomal RNA", at positions 354 to 796 of the family's 1533-position model. The record is from RNAcentral.